GCGACCCGGUGCGGUAUCGCUUCACACGCGAGAGGUCGCUGGUUCGAGCCCAGCCAUGCGCA
Molecule: transfer RNA, 62 nt
Filed under: Solirubrobacterales bacterium
Lineage: Bacteria; Bacillati; Actinomycetota; Thermoleophilia; Solirubrobacterales
Description: tRNA-Val
Source: RNAcentral